GACGAACGCUGGCGGCGUGCUUAACACAUGCAAGUCGAACGAUGAAGCCCAGCUUGCUGGGUGGAUUAGUGGCGAACGGGUGAGUAACACGUGGGCAACCUGCCCCAAACUCUGGGAUAACUCCUCGAAAGAGGUGCUAAUACCGGAUACGAACUAGACAGACAUCUGUACUAGUUGGAAAGUUUUUCGGUUUGGGAUGGGCCCGCGGCCUAUCAGCUUGUUGGUGAGGUAACGGCUCACCAAGGCUACGACGGGUAACCGGCCUGGGAGGGCGACCGGUCACACUGGGACUGAGACACGGCCCAGACUCCUACGGGAGGCAGCAGUGGGAAAUAUUGCGCAAUGGGCGAAAGCCUGACGCAGCGACGCCGCGUGAGGGAUGAAGGUCUUCGGAUCGUAAACCUCUUUCAGUAGGGACGAAGCGAAAGUGACGGUACCUAAAGAAGAAGCACCGGCUAACUACGUGCCAGCAGCCGCCGCAG
RNAcentral lists this ribosomal RNA (482 nucleotides) under uncultured bacterium. RNAcentral describes it as "partial 16S ribosomal RNA". It matches the Rfam family "Bacterial small subunit ribosomal RNA", at positions 28 to 523 of the family's 1533-position model. The record is from RNAcentral.